This 506-nucleotide small RNA is filed under the name Pan troglodytes (chimpanzee). RNAcentral describes it as "processed transcript". The record is from RNAcentral. Lineage: Eukaryota; Metazoa; Chordata; Mammalia; Primates; Hominidae.
GAUGAAGUCGCUCACACAGUCACCGAGAGCCGAGUCCUCCAGAACACCAGGCACCCGUUCCUCACUGCGCUGAAGUACGCCUUCCAGACCCACGACCGCCUGUGCUUUGUGAUGGAGUAUGCCAACGGGGGUGAGCUGUUCUUCCACCUGUCCCGGGAGCGUGUCUUCACAGAGGAGCGGGCCCGGUUUUAUGGUGCAGAGAUUGUCUCGGCUCUUGAGUACUUGCACUCACGGGACGUGGUAUACCGCGACAUCAAGCUGGAAAACCUCAUGCUGGACAAAGAUGGCCACAUCAAGAUCACUGACUUUGGCCUCUGCAAAGAGGGCAUCAGUGACGGGGCCACCAUGAAAACCUUCUGUGGGACCCCGGAGUACCUGGCGCCUGAGGGCCACGGGCCCAGCCCUCAUUUCUCCUCCAUCCUCAGGUGCUGGAGGACAAUGACUAUGGCCGGGCCGUGGACUGGUGGGGGCUGGGUGUGGUCAUGUACGAGAUGAUGUGCGGCCGC